UAAGGUGAUUAUAGCGAUAGGGCGCACCUCUUACCAUUUCGAACAGAGACGUUAAGCCUAUUUGCGCCAAUGGUACUACACUUGUGGGAGAGUAGGUCGUCGCCUUUU
This 108-nucleotide ribosomal RNA is filed under the name Lacinutrix neustonica. The record is from RNAcentral. Lineage: Bacteria; Pseudomonadati; Bacteroidota; Flavobacteriia; Flavobacteriales; Flavobacteriaceae.